Molecule: long non-coding RNA, 301 nt
Organism: Etheostoma spectabile (orangethroat darter)
Lineage: Eukaryota; Metazoa; Chordata; Actinopteri; Perciformes; Percidae
Exons: 3
Source: RefSeq, a predicted model, not a curated record
CUCAGAUCUCUGCAGGGUAAAUCCAAACAGCUAGCUAGACUAUCUGUCCAAUCUGAGUUUUUUGUUGACGACUAAAACUACUUCUGAACGUACAAAUGUUCCACCAAAACAACUUCUUUCCGGAGGCUAUUUAGCAGAAUCACCGUGGCUCCAUCCAAAACGAUUGUGAUUUAUUCAAAGAAAUGCCAAUAAACCAGAGCAUGAUUUUCUCCCAUCCCAGAAUGCUAUGUGGACUAACCAGACCCUCCUCCGUAGCGCUGUGGAGGAAGUUCUGGCAAUGCAAGGCUUGCAGAGAACUCAA